GAUGAACGCUGGCGGCGUGCCUAAUACAUGCAAGUCGAGCGAACAGAUGAGGAGCUUGCUCCUCUGACGUUAGCGGCGGACGGGUGAGUAACACGUGGAUAACCUACCUAUAAGACUGGGAUAACUUCGGGAAACCGGAGCUAAUACCGGAUAAUAUAUUGAACCGCAUGGUUCAAUAGUGAAAGACGGUUUUGCUGUCACUUAUAGAUGGAUCCGCGCCGCAUUAGCUAGUUGGUAAGGUAACGGCUUACCAAGGCAACGAUGCGUAGCCGACCUGAGAGGGUGAUCGGCCACACUGGAACUGAGACACGGUCCAGACUCCUACGGGAGGCAGCAGUAGGGAAUCUUCCGCAAUGGGCGAAAGCCUGACGGAGCAACGCCGCGUGAGUGAUGAAGGUCUUCGGAUCGUAAAACUCUGUUAUUAGGGAAGAACAAAUGUGUAAGUAACUAUGGACGUCUUGACGGUACCUAAUCAGAAAGCCACGGCUAACUACGUG
Molecule: ribosomal RNA, 497 nt
Filed under: uncultured bacterium
Lineage: Bacteria
Description: partial 16S ribosomal RNA
Rfam family: Bacterial small subunit ribosomal RNA
Source: RNAcentral